AGGCGACGACGGGUAGCCGGCCUGAGAGGGUGUCCGGCCACACUGGGACUGAGAUACGGCCCAGACUCCUACGGGAGGCAGCAGUGGGGAAUAUUGCACAAUGGGCGCAAGCCUGAUGCAGCGACGCCGCGUGGGGGAUGACGGCCUUCGGGUUGUAAACCUCUUUCAGUAGGGACGAAGCGCAAGUGACGGUACCUACAGAAGAAGCACCGGCCAACUACGUGCCAGCAGCCGCGGUAAUACGUAGGGUGCGAGCGUUGUCCGGAAUUACUGGGCGUAAAGAGCUCGUAGGUGGUUUGUCGCGUUGUCCGUGAAAUCUCACAACUCAAUUGUGAGCGUGCGGGCGAUACGGGCAGACUGGAGUACUGCAGGGGAGACUGGAAUUCCU
RNAcentral lists this ribosomal RNA (388 nucleotides) under uncultured bacterium. RNAcentral describes it as "bacterial SSU rRNA". It matches the Rfam family "Bacterial small subunit ribosomal RNA", at positions 271 to 671 of the family's 1533-position model. The record is from RNAcentral.